CCUACGGGUGGCAGCAGUGGGGAAUAUUGGGCAAUGGGCGCAAGCCUGACCCAGCAACGCCGCGUGAAGGAAGAAGGCUUUCGGGUUGUAAACUUCUUUUAAGAGGGACGAGCAGAAGACGGUACCUCUUGAAUAAGCCACGGCUAACUACGUGCCAGCAGCCGCGGUAAUACGUAGGUGGCAAGCGUUGUCCGGAUUUACUGGGUGUAAAGGGCGUGCAGCCGGGAAGGCAAGUCAGAUGUGAAAUCCCGGGGCUCAACCGCGGACCUGCAUUUGAAACUGUGUUUCUUGAGUACCGGAGAGGUAAUCGGAAUUCCUUGUGUAGCGGUGAAAUGCGUAGAUAUAAGGAAGAACACCAGUGGCGAAGGCGGAUGGCUGGACAGCAACUGACGGUGAGGCGCGAAAGCGUGGGGAGCAAACAGGAUUAGAUACCCCUGUAGUC
This 442-nucleotide ribosomal RNA is filed under the name uncultured bacterium. RNAcentral's name for it is "partial 16S ribosomal RNA". It matches the Rfam family "Bacterial small subunit ribosomal RNA", at positions 338 to 795 of the family's 1533-position model. The record is from RNAcentral.